This 78-nucleotide transfer RNA is filed under the name Clostridiales bacterium. RNAcentral describes it as "tRNA-Arg". It matches the Rfam family "tRNA". From Rfam's summary of the family: Transfer RNA (tRNA) molecules are approximately 80 nucleotides in length. Their secondary structure includes four short double-helical elements and three loops (D, anti-codon, and T loops). The record is from RNAcentral. Lineage: Bacteria; Bacillati; Bacillota; Clostridia; Eubacteriales.
GCGCCUGUAGCUUAGUCUGGAGAGAGUGCGUGGCUACGAACCACGAGGUCAGGGGUUCAAAUCCCUUCAGGCGCACCA